Molecule: ribosomal RNA, 253 nt
Filed under: uncultured bacterium
Lineage: Bacteria
Description: partial 16S ribosomal RNA
Rfam family: Bacterial small subunit ribosomal RNA
Source: RNAcentral
UACGUAGGGUGCGAGCGUUGUCCGGAAUUACUGGGCGUAAAGAGCUCGUAGGUGGUUUGUCGCGUUGUUCGUGAAAACUCACAGCUUAACUGUGGGCGUGCGGGCGAUACGGGCAGACUGGAGUACUGCAGGGGAGACUGGAAUUCCUGGUGUAGCGGUGGAAUGCGCAGAUAUCAGGAGGAACACCGAUGGCGAAGGCAGGUCUCUGGGCUGAAACUGACGCUCAUGCACGAAAGCGUGGGGAGCAAACAGG